GUGUCAGCCGCCGCGGUAAUACGGAGGAUGCGAGCGUUAUCCGGAUUUAUUGGGUUUAAAGGGUGCGUAGGCGGAUUAAUAAGUCAGUGGUGAAAACCUUCAGCUUAACUGGAGACUUGCCAUAGAUACUGUUAGUCUUGUGUAUGGUUAAGGUAGGCGGAAUGUGUAAUGUAGCGGUGAAAUGCUUAGAUAUUACACAGAACACCGAUUGCGAAGGCAGCUUACUGAGCCAUAACUGACGCUGAUGCACGAAAGCGUGGGGAGAGAACAGGAUUAGAUACCCUGGUAGUCCACGCCGUAAACGAUGAUCACUCGCUGUUGGCGAUACACAGUCAGCGGCUAAGCAAAAGCAUUAAGUGAUCCACCUGGGGAGUACGGCCGCAAGGCUGAAACUCAAAUGAAUUGGCGGGG
This 411-nucleotide ribosomal RNA is filed under the name uncultured prokaryote. RNAcentral's name for it is "bacterial SSU rRNA". It matches the Rfam family "Bacterial small subunit ribosomal RNA", at positions 505 to 918 of the family's 1533-position model. The record is from RNAcentral.